UUUCGAGUUGACUAACGGGUAGGUCGUAAAUUUUUGGUAUUUAUUGUGGGUGUUCGAAUCACCCCUCGAAAA
This 72-nucleotide transfer RNA is filed under the name Hapsidospora chrysogena. RNAcentral describes it as "Acremonium chrysogenum tRNA-Gln". It matches the Rfam family "tRNA". From Rfam's summary of the family: Transfer RNA (tRNA) molecules are approximately 80 nucleotides in length. The record is from RNAcentral. Lineage: Eukaryota; Fungi; Ascomycota; Sordariomycetes; Hypocreales; Bionectriaceae.